This 611-nucleotide ribosomal RNA is filed under the name uncultured ciliate. Its description in RNAcentral is "SSU rRNA". It matches the Rfam family "Eukaryotic small subunit ribosomal RNA", at positions 321 to 1030 of the family's 1831-position model. Lineage: Eukaryota; Ciliophora. The record is from RNAcentral.
CUGGAUGGUAGUGUAUUGGACUACCAUGGCUUUCACGGGUAACGGGGAAUUAGGGUUCGAUUCCGGAGAAGGAGCCUGAGAAACGGCUACUACAUCUAAGGAAGGCAGCAGGCGCGUAAAUUACCCAAUCCUGACUCAGGGAGGUAGUGACAAGAUAUAACGACGCGACCAAAAUCGCGAUUGUAGUGAGGGUAUUCCAAAAAGAACCACUAGUACGAUUGGAGGGCAAGUCUGGUGCCAGCAGCCGCGGUAAUUCCAGCUCCAAUAGCGUAUAUUAAAGUUGUUGCAGUUAAAAAGCUCGUAGUUGGAUUUCAAGGUUCGCAAAACGCAAGUUUUGCUUCCUACCAGUCAUUGACUGUUACUGUGAGAAAAUUAGAGUGUUUCAAGCAGGCUGUUGCAGGAAUACAUUAGCAUGGAAUAACGAAUGUGUCUAGAAUCUUGGUUAAAUUCUAGAUUACGAUUAAUAGGGACAGUUGGGGGCAUUAGUAUUUAAUUGUCAGAGGUGAAAUUCUUGGAUUUGUUAAAGACUAACGUAUGCGAAAGCAUUUGCCAAGGAUGUUUUCAUUAAUCAAGAACGAAAGAUAGGGGAUCAAAGAMGAUCAGAUACCGUC